This 377-nucleotide ribosomal RNA is filed under the name uncultured bacterium. Its description in RNAcentral is "bacterial SSU rRNA". It matches the Rfam family "Bacterial small subunit ribosomal RNA", at positions 523 to 898 of the family's 1533-position model. The record is from RNAcentral.
AUACGUAGGGGGCAAGCGUUGUCCGGAAUUAUUGGGCGUAAAGGGCGCGUAGGCGGCUACUUAAGUCUGAUGUAAAAGGCCACGGCUCAACCGUGAGCAGGCAUUGGAAACUGAGUAGCUUGAGUGCAGGAGAGGAGAGUGGAAUUCCCGGUGUAGCGGUGAUAUGCGUAGAUAUCGGGAGGAACACCAGUGGCGAAGGCGGCUCUCUGGCCUGUUACAGACGCUGAGGCGCGAAAGCGUGGGUAGCGAACAGGAUUAGAUACCCUGGUAGUCCACGCCGUAAACGAGGAGUGCUAGGUGUUAGGGGUAUUGACGCCCUUAGUGCCGAAGUUAACACAUUAAGCACUCCGCCUGGGGACUACGGCCGCAAGGCUAAA